RNAcentral lists this long non-coding RNA (3671 nucleotides) under Mus musculus (house mouse). RNAcentral describes it as "long non-coding RNA chr12:33239766-33243437". Lineage: Eukaryota; Metazoa; Chordata; Mammalia; Rodentia; Muridae. The record is from RNAcentral.
GCCUCCCGAGUGCUGGGAUUAAAGGCGUGCGCUACCACGCCUGGCACAAUGUUUUUUAAUAAGUGAGUUUUAGCCAUUUACAUUUAUUGUGAUUGCUUAAUAUACGUGUGCUUAUUUUUUUAAAUUUGUAUUCAUUUAUCUUGCUUUUCAUCUACCCCUGUAUUUUAUAUUUUAUUUCAAAAUUUCUAUUUACAUUUUAUUACAUUUUAUCAUGCAUAGUGAACUAUAGCUUUAUUCCUAAUAAAAAUUAAACUUAAACAGAAUCUGUGUCUUCUCAAACAACACAAAGGUGUUUGUACACUUUACCUCUUAGAAUGAACUGCUAAUUACAACCUAAAACACUGGCAGUGAAAUGUCAAACUACUUACUCAUGGAGGGAUUGGACACACAGUGAUUAAUGGGGAAGGUCUGAACUUUUUUGCUAAUUCACUGUGUUUUGUAAAUGUAACUUUUACUUUCCUGUUGUAAUUGUUUCCUUGGAGGCUUACUGCCUCCAUCUUUAAUGUAGGCUUAGUCCUGGAAGCUUCCAGCUUCCAUACAAUCUAAUCUAGACCUAGAAUGGUUUUUUUGUUUGGUUGGCUUUUGUUUUUAAAAGAAUUAUUUAUUCAUUAUAUGUAAGUACACUGUAGCUGUCUUCAGACAUCCCAGAAGAGGGCAUCAGAUCUCAUCACGAUGGUUGUGAACCACCAUGUGGUUGCUGGGAUUUGAGCUCAGGACCUUUGGAAGAGCAAACGGUGCUCUUAACCACUGAGCCAUCUCUCCAGCCCCCUAGAAUGUUUUUAGCCUCUGAGACUUACUUCUGAAUAAGCUCACCCUUUCUUGUUUCUUCUGAACUAUAGUUAGCUAGUUUAGCUCAGCUCUUCUGGCUCAAAAUCCUCUCAAGCUGACUGAUCAAUCUAGCUUCUUUCAAUUUCUAACUGAAUUGCUCUGCUUGGCCUCAUACUAACGUUGGCAAUAUGUUCUAAUCUUCUGGCUCUUUCUCAUUCUCUGGCUUGCUCUGUCUUCACCUGUGUCUAGCUUGUUCUCUCUCUGCAACUUGUCUCUGUAAUAUUGUCCCAGUAAAACUUCCUCCUUUCCUUUUCUCUCUCUGUACUGCACUCUCUUAAGUAGCUUCUAUUUCCUGUCUGUUCUCAUGAGAAUUGAGCAUGUCCUAUUCUGUCAAAUCUUUCUCUGAUUCAUCACUUUGUCUGCCACUCAAUUAAACAUAAUUUUCAAUCAUGGAUGCUUCCUUCUACAAACUAACUUUAUCUUCAUUGUUUGUGAUUAAAGGUGUGUAUUAAGAGCAUGUCUGUAUUCCAGAGGGAUUAAAGGUAUGUGUUAAGGGCUAAGCCACACCACAUCUAGAAACAGAUUUUUUUUUUCAAUAAAUAACACAAUCUCCAGGCUCAAAUAUCUUUCAAAAGUGCUUUAUACCUUGACUUAUUUGGGACAUCUCUCAAAUUUAGAGUGAUACACUAAAUGUAUCAUUCAUGUCCUGUAAAAACUUAUCUCUCAAGUUCCUUUUAAAAUGAUUCCUUAAAGUGGAACUCAGAAUUCUAAGGUGCCGUGAUUUCUAGUGGGAAUGUCAGAAAGGCCCUCCCAUCUUAGCACCUGUUUUCCUGUUCUAGAAUCUCUAUCCUGAAUGCACAUACAGACCCAUGCAGAAUCACGUUAGAACAUAGAUUCUGACUCAGCAAUGCCUCCGUUGGGUAAUAUGGUGCUUUUGCUCCACGGACUUGACUUUAAGGAGCAAGGACUGGGAGAGCUAAAUACAGUUAGGAAAAAUUGCGGGUUUUAGCUCUCGGUCAGAGGUCCCUGAUACCUCCCAGAUCCUUGGUUACCAGACGAAACUUUGUGCAGUGGUUUGGGAUUUGGCAUAAUUUUAUUUCUGAAGGUCACUCUUUAUGCUUGGCAGAAUCCCCAAGCCGAAAGGUCCCCCUUCUAGCCCAGGUCCCAUUGACAGAAAGCGAGUGAUCAUCCAGAAUUCUGCAUGUUCCUCUGCGUCCAUUCCUGCUGAGGUCAAGGCUCUGUAUUUUGAUGGGGCUCUACCAGUCAGUGCCCUGAGGAAAUGCUUGCUCAAGACCGGGGCAGGCUGCCUGGUAAAUGUAUGUUUAAGACAAGCUUUUAAUAGAGACUCACUUUUAAAUAGUAACCAGGAACAAGACUCUCUUCUCUUAACAGGAAUCCAUUUAUAGGACUCAGCUGUUGAGGCUCAAGGGUAGCAUUAGGCUUAAGUUUAAUCUUCUGUAUACUGUAAUUUACAGCAGCAAGGAAAGCACUGUAUGUACAACUGUUUCAGUCAUUCGCCGUGAUAAAUAGCUAUCGCUCCUGGCGAAACAGAAAAUGUGAUCUCCACUUCCCACUUAUGAAUAUUGAAUUGGCCCCAGCAGGCGUAUGCUGCACAGGUUUAAUGGGGGCAUUCCCUGAUCGGUGAGAAGGUCUCCUGGCCCCAACUGUCACUUUGCUGCCACGAACACCAAGUUGGUCUCUAUCCAGGUGACAGUGGUGUGGUACAUGUAUGUUCCUGGUGAACCUUACAAAGUACUUGUGUUGAUCUUAAGUGGAAAGCUGGUUAAAGGUGGCAGCUUUACACUGGGUGCUAUUAGAGAUGUUGUUACUGAGGUAGGGAGCCACCCAUAGGGAUCAGAGGAUUGUCUUGGGUGAUUAUCUGAUGCAGGAAAAAGAAAAGAAGUGUGAUUGUGUUGAAUUCCUGAAGGAUAUCAAUCAGGGAAACGGAAAUGAAUGGGUGCAAAAGAGAGGUGAGAUAAAGGGGAGCCACUCUUGGGAACCCAGAACCUAAUGUAACCUCUACCAAAUUCCUCUCAGUUCAGAUAUUUCAUUGUCUGCUGAUGGGCUGGCACAUAAUAUGUAUUUAGGUACGACACCCAGGUGGAAUGGCCUUCUUUACCCAGCAAUUCACUCUUUUUCCCCCCAAAAGAAAGCAGUCUUUCCUUACUCCCCAAAGAAACGGAUAGAAGUCCCUAGGUUGCAGUCUUUGAUUGUCUCUCAUUUUCCGAGCACUCAUGAUGGGCUAGACACCAUGCCGGAUGGUGAGAUGAAGAGUGCAGAGCACAUGCGAGCUGUGCUGCUGUCUGCGUCUGACGCUGUGACAUAGAUGCUGUCUCCCAUGGUCACACUCCCUGGUGCCACCUCUCAGCAGUGUCUCCCUGCAAAUAGCUCCCUCUGAAAACAGCCAUGAGCCACUUGUGUGCUUGCUGCUGCCUUUGGCAGUGGAGUGUCUGUCAACCUUUAGGGGGCCCUUACAUUGCCACAGCAUCUCGCUGUGUGUACACAAGCACUGUCCCACAGUCUGCGCAUUUGGGCUUACAGAGAAACGCAGGGAGUAGCACCCCUGGGAGUGGUAGCUUUACAGAUUUCGAAGCUCCAAGAGAAAACAACAAGAAAAUGCAAAACAGAGACUAAGGUCACAGGAUUGGAACUGAGGCUAGCAUCCGACUCUGUAUUUGUAGCAGAGGACAGCCUUGCUAGGCAUCAAUGGGAGGGAAGGUCCUUGGUCCUAUGAAGGCUCAAUAGAUGCCACAUUGUAGGGGAAUCUAGGGUGGGGAGGGGAGAGUGGGUGGGUGGGUGGAAGAACACCCUCAUAGAAGCAGGAGGGGGGAAUGAGAUAGGGGGUUUCUAGGAGGUGGGGGGAAACCGGGUAAGGGAAUAACACUUGAAAUGUAAAUAAAUUG